Molecule: ribosomal RNA, 449 nt
Filed under: uncultured bacterium
Lineage: Bacteria
Description: partial 16S ribosomal RNA
Rfam family: Bacterial small subunit ribosomal RNA
Source: RNAcentral
AGCGAACGCUGGCGGCAGGCCUAACACAUGCAAGUCGAACGAAGUCUUCGGACUUAGUGGCGGACGGGUGAGUAACACGUGGGAACGUGCCUUUAGGUUCGGAAUAACUCAGGGAAACUUGUGCUAAUACCGAAUGAGCCCUUCGGGGGAAAGAUUUAUCGCCUUUAGAGCGGCCCGCGUCUGAUUAGCUAGUUGGUGAGGUAAAGGCUCAACAAGGCGACGAUCAGUAGCGGGUCUGAGAGGAUGAUCAGCCACAUUGGGACUGAGACACGGCCCAAACUCCUACGGGAGGCAGCAGUGGGGAAUCUUGCGCAAUGGGCGAAAGCCUGACGCAGCCAUGCCGCGUGAAUGAUGAAGGUCUUAGGAUUGUAAAAUUCCUUCACCGGGGACGAUAAUGACGGUACCCGGAGAAGAAGCCCCGGCUAACUUCGUGCCAGCAGCCGCCGUAA